AUUGAACGCUGGCGGCAUGCCUUACACAUGCAAGUCGAACGGUAACAGGUCUUCGGACGCUGACGAGUGGCGAACGGGUGAGUAAUACAUCGGAACGUGCCCAGUCGUGGGGGAUAACUACUCGAAAGAGUAGCUAAUACCGCAUACGAUCUGAGGAUGAAAGCGGGGGACCUUCGGGCCUCGCGCGAUUGGAGCGGCCGAUGGCAGAUUAGGUAGUUGGUGGGAUAAAAGCUUACCAAGCCGACGAUCUGUAGCUGGUCUGAGAGGACGACCAGCCACACUGGGACUGGGACACGGCCCAGACUCCUACGGGAGGCAGCAGUGGGGAAUUUUGGACAAUGGGCGAAAGCCUGAUUCAGCAAUGCCGCGUGCAGGAUGAAGGCCUUCGGGUUGUAAACUGCUUUUGUACGGAACGAAAAAGCUCCUUCUAAUACAGGGGGCCCAUGACGGUACCGUAAGAAUAAGCACCGGCUAACUACGUGCCAGCCGCCGCAGUAA
Molecule: ribosomal RNA, 498 nt
Filed under: uncultured bacterium
Lineage: Bacteria
Description: partial 16S ribosomal RNA
Rfam family: Bacterial small subunit ribosomal RNA
Source: RNAcentral